RNAcentral lists this ribosomal RNA (458 nucleotides) under uncultured bacterium. RNAcentral describes it as "bacterial SSU rRNA". It matches the Rfam family "Bacterial small subunit ribosomal RNA", at positions 917 to 1382 of the family's 1533-position model. The record is from RNAcentral.
GGGCCCGCACAAGCAGUGGAGUAUGUGGUUUAAUUCGACGCAACGCGAAGAACCUUACCAGGUCUUGACAUCCGAUGACAGCUCAAGAGAUUGAGUGUUCCUUCGGGACAUCGAGACAGGUGGUGCAUGGUUGUCGUCAGCUCGUGUCGUGAGAUGUUGGGUUAAGUCCCGCAACGAGCGCAACCCUUAUCGUCAGUUACUACGCAAGAGGACUCUGGCGAGACUGCCGUUGACAAAACGGAGGAAGGUGGGGAUGACGUCAAAUCAUCAUGCCCUUUAUGACCUGGGCUACACACGUACUACAAUGGCGCUUAACAGAGAGCAGCAAAGCCGCGAGGCCAAGCGAACCUCAAAAACAGCGUCUCAGUUCGGACUGCAGGCUGCAACUCGCCUGCACGAAGCCGGAAUUGCUAGUAAUCGCGGAUCAGAAUGCCGCGGUGAAUACGUUCCCGGGCCUU